RNAcentral lists this small RNA (116 nucleotides) under Arabidopsis thaliana (thale cress). RNAcentral describes it as "ATSL252440". The record is from RNAcentral. Lineage: Eukaryota; Viridiplantae; Streptophyta; Magnoliopsida; Brassicales; Brassicaceae.
AGAGAGAAAGGAGAAGAAGCAGAAGAGUCAAAAAGUCUCCUUCUCCCUCGCUUCUUCUUUCUUAGUGUGGUGAGAGCAAAGAGAGACUCUUUUUUUUUGGUUUUUGGGUUCUCUCU